UUUUUUUUUUUUUUUUUUUUUUUUUGUCUUUUUGCCAUUUCUCAGGCCUACUCCGCAGCAUAUGGAGGUUCCCAGGUGUGGCCCUAAAAAAAAGUAAAAGAAAAAUAAUAUUGGGGAGAAUGUCAAUCUGUACAAGAAUUUCCUCAGGUAAUUAUAGUAGUCCUCAACGACUGUGUUGAAUAUUGACCAAAAACGUACCUUUGACUUUCUUUUUUUAUUUUAAAUCAUUUUCAUUUUUUUCAUUAUACCUGGUUUACAAUGUUCUAUCAAUUUUCUACUGUACAGCGAGGCGACCCAGUCACACAUACGUAUAUAUGUUCUUUUUCUCACAUUAUCAUGCUCCAUCAUAAGUGACUAUAGUUCCCAGUGCUAUACAGAAGGAUCCUGUUGAUUUUCAAAACACCUUAUGUUUUGUUUCCACAGGUCCAUUCGCCAAAGAAAAAAAGAAAAAUUCCAUUCUACAAAUGAAAGAAAUGGCAUGAAAAUGAAAAAACACCUGUCACAAAACAGGUUUUGGAGAUCAGGAGGUGAAAGGUAGGGACUGAGGGCCCAAGCAGUGGAGGCAUGCCUCACAGGACAGAUACGCCAGUGGAAAAGCCUUGCUGCCCAAUGGAUUUCAGUAAUUUCCUUGCUCCCUAAGACCAGCUUACCACCAUAACUAUUUCACCUUCAUUUAAAGUGUUCAAAAAUGAUUCUCUAUGAAAAGAGAAGCCAGGGAUGCCUUUACAUUUCAGAUAUGCAUACAAAAUAUGAGGCAGGGUAUAAUAGUGAUCAUUGACUUGCCCACUGUGUGUAAGUAUCCUAAAAUAUCAAAUUUGAAAAGCAGAUGUUGGCUUGAUAAAGACAAUUACUUCAGCCUCUUGAAAAACAACAGAAUUUGUUAAAUGCCCUUACACAGGACCUGUUAAAGUGAAUUCAGGGGAGUUCCCAUUGUGGCUCAACGGAAACGAAUUCCACUAGUAUCCAUGAGGAUGCAGGUUCGAUUCCCGUCUUCGAUGAGUGGGUUAAGGAUCCAGUGUUGACGUGAGCUAUGGUGUAGGUCACAGAAAAGUCUCAGACCCCGAGUUGCUGUGGCUGUGGUGUAGGUCAGCAGCUGUCACUCUGAUUUGACCCUUAGCCUGGGAACUUCCAUAUGCCUAGAGAGCGGCCCUAAAAAAAGUAACAACAACAAAAAAAAUCUUUAGUGUGAACAUUCAUUUUCACAACUAUGUGACCCUAAACUCAUAUGCCCAAUCAUGAACAAGUACAUACAUUUGUAGUAGCUUCCUGGCUCCCAAAUACCAAGUCCCUAAGCCAUGACAGCAAUUGAUCACUCAUUUUGCCUUCAGCAGUACAAAAACUAUCAAAACAGUAACAUAGAAAAACUAUGCAUUUCCUUCCAUAUCCUCUGUAGUCCCUGCACCUCUGCAUGUUCUUAUAACUGUUUUUUGUUUGUUUGUUUUCUUUUUUCUGACUAAAUGACCUAACAUUGACUGAAGGUAGGGAAUACAAAAAAGAAUUAUAAAAGAACAAUGAUUUAAAAUGAGGAUGUUCUGAGGUCCCACUGUGGCUCAGCAGGUUAAGAAUCAGGCUUUGCCUCUGCAGGGGCUCCAGUCACUGCUGAGGGAUGGGUCUGAUCCCCUGCCCCCAAACAGUGGGUUAUGAUCCAGAGUUGCUUAUGCUGUGGCGUAAAUCGAAGCUAUGGCUUGGAUUAAAUCCCUGGCCCAAUAAAGUCCACAUGCUACAAGUCCAGCAAAAAAAAAAAAAAAAAAAAA
This 1754-nucleotide long non-coding RNA is filed under the name Sus scrofa (pig). RNAcentral describes it as "lncRNA (ENSSSCG00060011862.1)". Lineage: Eukaryota; Metazoa; Chordata; Mammalia; Artiodactyla; Suidae. The record is from RNAcentral.